RNAcentral lists this microRNA precursor (146 nucleotides) under Drosophila guanche. Lineage: Eukaryota; Metazoa; Arthropoda; Insecta; Diptera; Drosophilidae. The record is from RNAcentral.
ACGAUAAGCCAGAAAGAGAGAGAGAGGGAGAGAGAGAGAGGGAAAAGCAAGAACCAGAUGGAUGGGCUCCUACCUAGAGCCACGAACCGCAAACAAGUUCUCGAUCCCUCUUUCUCUCUCUCUCUCUCUCUCUCUCAUUCUAUUCU